This 495-nucleotide ribosomal RNA is filed under the name uncultured bacterium. RNAcentral describes it as "partial 16S ribosomal RNA". It matches the Rfam family "Bacterial small subunit ribosomal RNA", at positions 28 to 507 of the family's 1533-position model. The record is from RNAcentral.
GAUGAACGCUGGCGGCGUGCCUAAUACAUGCAAGUAGAACGCUGAAGGAGGAGCUUGCUCUUCUGGAUGAGUUGCGAACGGGUGAGUAACGCGUAGGUAACCUGCCUGGUAGCGGGGGAUAACUAUUGGAAACGAUAGCUAAUACCGCAUGACAACAGUUAUUGCAUGAUAACUGUUUAAAAGGGGCAACUGCUCCACUACCAGAUGGACCUGCGUUGUAUUAGCUAGUUGGGGAGGUAACGGCUCACCAAGGCGACGAUACAUAGCCGACCUGAGAGGGUGAUCGGCCACACUGGGACUGAGACACGGCCCAGACUCCUACGGGAGGCAGCAGUAGGGAAUCUUCGGCAAUGGACGGAAGUCUGACCGAGCAACGCCGCGUGAGUGAAGAAGGUUGUCGGAUCGUAAAGCUCUGUUGUAAGAGAAGAACGAGUGUGAGAGUGGAAAGUUCACACUGUGACGGUAUCUUACCAGAAAGGGACGGCUAACUACGUG